RNAcentral lists this ribosomal RNA (454 nucleotides) under uncultured bacterium. RNAcentral describes it as "bacterial SSU rRNA". It matches the Rfam family "Bacterial small subunit ribosomal RNA", at positions 64 to 524 of the family's 1533-position model. The record is from RNAcentral.
GAACGGGGUUAUAACGGGUGCUUGCACCUGGUAUAACCUAGUGGCGGACGGGUGAGUAACACGUGGAUAAUCUGCCCGAGACUGUGGGAUAACAACCAGAAAUGGUUGCUAAUACCGCAUAAGCACACACCAUGGCAUCAUGGAGUGUGAAAAGAUUUAUCGGUUUCGGAGGAGUCCGCGUAAGAUUAGCUAGUUGGUGGGGUAACGGCCUACCAAGGCGACGAUCUUUAGCCGACCUGAGAGGGUGAUCGGCCACACUGGGACUGAGACACGGCCCAUACUCCUACGGGAGGCAGCAGUGAGGGAUAUUGCACAAUGGGCGAAAGCCUGAUGCAGCAACGCCGCGUGAAGGAAGAAGGUUCUCGGAUCGUAAACUUCUAUCGAUGGGGACGAAAAAAAUGACGGUACCCAAGUAAGAAGCCCCGGCUAACUACGUGCCAGCAGCCGCGGUAAU